Molecule: unclassified non-coding RNA, 376 nt
Filed under: uncultured Geodermatophilaceae bacterium
Lineage: Bacteria; Bacillati; Actinomycetota; Actinomycetes; Geodermatophilales; Geodermatophilaceae
Description: contains 16S-23S intergenic spacer region
Source: RNAcentral
UCCGGUUUGACACCGGCAGUCUCCCAUGAGUCCCCACCAUUACGUGCUGGCAACAUGGAACGAGGGUUGCGCUCGUUGCGGGACUUAACCCAACAUCUCACGACACGAGCUGACGACAACCAUGCACCACCUGUGCACGGCCCUUACGGACCCCGCAUCUCUGCGAGAUUUCCGUGCAUGUCAAGCCUAGGUAAGGUUCUUCGCGUUGCGUCGAAUUAAGCAACAUGCUCCGCCGCUUGUGCGGGCCCCCGUCAAUUCCUUUGAGUUUUAGCCUUGCGGCCGUACUCCCCAGGCGGGGCGCUUAAUGCGUUAGCUUCGGCACGGACGGAGUCGACACCGCCCACACCUAGUGUUCAUCGUUUACGGCGUGGACUAC